RNAcentral lists this ribosomal RNA (253 nucleotides) under uncultured bacterium. Its description in RNAcentral is "partial 16S ribosomal RNA". It matches the Rfam family "Bacterial small subunit ribosomal RNA", at positions 524 to 776 of the family's 1533-position model. The record is from RNAcentral.
UACAGAGGGUGCGAGCGUUGUCCGGAAUCACUGGGCGUAAAGGGCGCGUAGGUGGCGACCCAAGUCGAUGGUGAAAGCUCGCCGCUCAACGGCGAGUCGGCCACCGAUACUGGGUUGCUGGAGCACUGUAGAGGCAGAUGGAAUUCCGGGUGUAGCGGUGGAAUGCGUAGAGAUCCGGAAGAACACCAGUGGCGAAGGCGGCCCGCUGGGCAGUGGCUGACGCUGAGGCGCGACAGCGUGGGGAGCAAACAGG